AAUCUUAACUGCGAAAUGAUAUUUUCCCCAAAAUUGUGUAGAAUAGCUCCUGACAUUGCCCUUCCAUAAUAUGGCUGUGUUACAUUGGAAGUAGUCCAAUCGGCUGAGUUCAUUUCCAGCCAAGGUCAACUGAUUCCAACUGAAUUCUUCCCCUCUGAAUUAACCGUUUGUUCUCUUCAGCAAAGAUACACUUGUGCCCUCAUUCUACAGUUCUGCCUGUUUGAUACUUGUUAUUAGCAGGUGUCCCAAGGCCUGCCGAGCUCCCCUCCUUCCCAUGCUUAUAAUGAGUAAACACUGGGUGUCCUUGGUGUCUUUGUCUGUAGUCCAGAGUAGCUUAGAUCAGCCCAAGACUCAGUUUCUCUCAAGUUUCUGUCUCUGUCUCUUUAUUUCCCUCUGUCCUAUCUCAUGGACAUCAUACUGGCUCUCAGGAGACUGAGACCCAUGGCCAGGGUUUCAAUAAUGCCUCUUAUACAUUGUUUGAGAAAUCAUUGCAGGAAUCUCUUGGAAGACCUGCAAGCACUGCAUGGGGACCAGGCUCUAAGGAAUGGUUAUGGAGAGAAGAGCAACUAAUCUCACUGGUAGGAGGGAAGGAAACCAAAGGGAGCCACAGUCACUGCAUACCAGGUUAAUACAUCCACUGCCCUUAAUCUCAAUCACCUAC
This is a long non-coding RNA of Fukomys damarensis (Damara mole-rat), 661 nucleotides long. RefSeq lists it as uncharacterized. The record is from RefSeq and is a predicted model, not a curated record. NCBI's taxonomy places the organism in Eukaryota, Metazoa, Chordata, Mammalia, Rodentia, Bathyergidae. The transcript is spliced from 3 exons.